RNAcentral lists this long non-coding RNA (1170 nucleotides) under Gallus gallus (chicken). Its description in RNAcentral is "lncRNA (ENSGALG00010009950.1)". The record is from RNAcentral. Lineage: Eukaryota; Metazoa; Chordata; Aves; Galliformes; Phasianidae.
AGGUUUCAUUAUGUCAUGAAGACAGACAGAGAAAAGAAUUAAAAGAGGCAGAGAAGAUAUUCUCAAGAGGAGUAAGACAUGACAGCAGCUUAUCAAGUGGCUGAGAAACUAUCUUCAUAACCAUAGAGCCAUGUGUAUCAUCUCGAGAGAGAAUUUCCUGAUCAGAGGAAAUUGCAGUUACUACAUUUUCACACGUCUUCCUGAACCACAUUAAAAUGACUUUAAUGACUUGGAUGAAUGGCACAAGGAGUCAGCAGAGCUCACAAAGAAUCCAAUGAGUUUGUUGCUCUGAACUGUAGUUCUGUUAACAAAAUGAGAUAUGAGUUGCCUGCAUGUUCUCAAAAGGGUUGUUUCUUGUACACAGGGCUUCCCACAGAAUAUAAAAGCAAGAUAAUGCUGUUUAAGAAUUGUUUCAUAAGUGAUAAAUUACGCAAAUUUCUUUAGACUAUGAAUCACUGAAUAAUUUACCAGAGGAUAAUGAUGUAUGCCUCAAUAAAAAUGUUUGGUAUAAUUACAAAUUUAUUCACAAGCCACUUAACUCAUGCUCACUGAAGAUAUUUUGAUAUGCUUUUUUUUUUUUUCCCCCUAGUUACUUUAAUUUUUCCUACUUUAUCAAAUCUGAACUUUGCUCUGUAGCAUAAUAAUAAGUAAAUUACUUUCUCAGAUCUUGAUAUAUUUCUUAUUCUUAAACAAUGUCUAAGGACCCAAUGUCCUCAACAGGAUUCCAGUUUCAAUGCAUCCACAAAAUCAUACUGUGAAAUACAGAAAGAUCUUCUAAGUAUUUACUCAUGUGCUAAAAGCUAUGUUUCUGUAAUGGUGCUGAAAUCAAUGCUGGAGCUGGAUGCAGUUGGACAAAAAUCUUGCUUGUGCAGUUGUUAGCCAAUAGCUAGAGCAUGUCCUACUUCCUACAGUGCAUGGUUACAAGAAGAUCUAACCAAAAAUUGUAUAUAAGAAGAACACUCAUGUAGCACCUGCAAGAGAAUAAGGCAGCUUUGGAGAACAGUAGUAGUGGCAGUGCAAAGUGCCUGUGUUUCCUUGUCUAAGGUUAGCAGGUUUUAAUUUUGAGGCAGUCACAGUGACUGUAUUUUCCACAGAUGGGAAGAAUGAAGGAUGCCUUUGUUUUGCUCACACUGCGACUAAAGUAAAGCUUGAGAAUAAAGUUCCAAAGGG